UUUAAGCGUAGCCAUAAGUUUCCGUGUCUUUUUUUCGUCCGUCUUAUUUAAAUUUUUUUAUGAUUCGUAUUUUUAUUGCUAUUAGAUGAUAAAAUAUGAAUAAUACUUUAUAUGUGACUUAUGUUUAAUUUUUUUUAAAAUUAUUUUAAAUAAGAUGAACGAUUAAAGUUGGACACGAAACUCAUGACUGCGCUUAAA
Molecule: non-coding RNA, 198 nt
Organism: Oryza punctata
Lineage: Eukaryota; Viridiplantae; Streptophyta; Magnoliopsida; Poales; Poaceae
Source: Rfam